This 67-nucleotide small RNA is filed under the name Lysinibacillus sp. AC-3. RNAcentral's name for it is "Bacillaceae-1 RNA". It matches the Rfam family "Bacillaceae-1 RNA". The record is from RNAcentral. Lineage: Bacteria; Bacillati; Bacillota; Bacilli; Caryophanales; Bacillaceae.
AAUUUUUGUACUCAGACUAAGAACGCCACGUCCUGUGGCAAAGACUGAGUGAUCAACAUCGUGUUGG